GGAGAGAUACCUCAAUGGUAGAGGACAGGACUUACAAACCUGAUGUCCCAGUUUCAAUCCCUGGCACCA
This 69-nucleotide transfer RNA is filed under the name Erinaceus europaeus (western European hedgehog). It matches the Rfam family "tRNA". Rfam says of the family: Transfer RNA (tRNA) molecules are approximately 80 nucleotides in length. Their secondary structure includes four short double-helical elements and three loops (D, anti-codon, and T loops). Further hydrogen bonds mediate the characteristic L-shaped molecular structure. tRNAs have two regions of fundamental functional importance: the anti-codon, which is responsible for specific mRNA codon recognition, and the 3' end, to which the tRNAs corresponding amino acid is attached (by aminoacyl-tRNA synthetases). tRNAs cope with the degeneracy of the genetic code in two manners: having more than one tRNA (with a specific anti-codon) for a particular amino acid; and 'wobble' base-pairing, i.e. permitting non-standard base-pairing at the 3rd anti-codon position. Lineage: Eukaryota; Metazoa; Chordata; Mammalia; Eulipotyphla; Erinaceidae. The record is from Rfam by way of RNAcentral.